GGGAAGUAAAGUCGUAACAAGGUUUCCGUAGGUGAACCUGCGGAAGGAUCAUUAAAAAAUAUACCGUUUUGAUGGUGUGAUUAAUAAUCCUACCCUUUGUGAAUUUGUUGUUUGAAAAUUUUUUGUCUAUCCUGAUGGUUUCUGUUUUGAUGAGUUGAAUAAAAGUCAAUCCAGGGAAUGGCCAAACGAUAAUUUUUUGACUUUUUAAAUUAAACUUUUUGUAUUCAUUUGUCUAAAAUUAUUUUUAUAAUAUAAAAACAACCUUUGACAAUGGAUCUCUUGGUUCUCGCAACGAUGAAGAACGCAGCAAAAUGCGAUAAGUAGUGUGAAUUGCAGAAUACGUGAAUCAUCGAAUCUUCGAACGCAUAUUGCACUUUUUUAGUUUACUAAAAAAGUAUGUCUGUUUGAGUAUCAGUAAAUAUUCUCAUAAAAACUUUUUUGUUUUUUAUGGUUAUGAGUGUUUUACAACGAUACAAGUUGUUUCACUUUAAAUUUUUUUAAAAUUUGAAAUUUUUUUUUCUAAUUUAAAAAUAAAUUGGAUAAAAUUUUCCCGUAAAAAGGAAUAACCUUAAACAAUUUUAAUUUUAUUUAGGUUUAAUUUCAAGACUUAAAAGGAAAAUUUAUUUUAAAUAACUUGAUCUCAAAUCAGAUAAGAGUACCCGCUGAACUUAAGCAUAUCAAUAAGCGGAGGAAAAGAAACUAACAAGGAUUCCCUUAGUAACGGCGAGUGAAGCGGGAAGAGCUCAAUUUGAAAUCUUCAAGGUUUACCUUGACGAAUUGUAGUUUAAAGAAGUGUUUUCUGUUGAAGUUUUGGUAAAAGUUCUUUGGAAUAGGACAUCAUAGAGGGUGAGAAUCCCGUAUUUGACCAUUAUUUUCAGCUGUGUGAUACACUUUCAAAGAGUCGGAUUGUUGGGAAUGCAGUCCAAAAUGGGUGGUAAAUUUCAUCUAAAGCUAAAUAUUGGCGAGAGACCGAUAGCGAACAAGUACCGUGAGGGAAAAAUGAAAAGAACUUUGAAAAGAGAGUUAAACAGUACGUGAAAUGUCAAAAGGGAAGCGUUUGACACCAGUGUUGUUUUCUCGAAAAUCAAUUAAAAAAGGCCGGAUUUUGUGUUGUAUUGACCUUAAAAGCUUUCUUCACUCUUUUCUGUCUUUUUUAAUGCACUUUUCGUUUAACAAGUCAACAUCAGUUUCUUUUGUUGUAAAAGGGUCAUUGGAAGGUGGCUUUCUUUUCGGAGAAAGUGUUUAUAGCCUUUGAUCUCUGCAACCGGAGAGACUGAGGUCUGCAGCGUAGACUCUUCGGGGUUAAAUACAUUUGUGCUAAGCUAUAGCUUUUUAUAGACAACUUGUUGACUAUAUUUAGUCUUGUGGCUUACUCGCUUAUGCUAUUUUACCUACGCUUAGGAUGUUGAG
Molecule: unclassified non-coding RNA, 1410 nt
Filed under: uncultured Neocallimastigales
Lineage: Eukaryota; Fungi; Neocallimastigomycota; Neocallimastigomycetes; Neocallimastigales
Description: partial contains small subunit ribosomal RNA, internal transcribed spacer 1, 5.8S ribosomal RNA, internal transcribed spacer 2, and large subunit ribosomal RNA
Rfam family: Eukaryotic large subunit ribosomal RNA (bases 636-1410)
Source: RNAcentral